CCUACGGGUGGCAGCAGUCGAGAAUCAUUCACAAUGGGGGAAACCCUGAUGGUGCGACGCCGCGUGGGGGAAUGAAGGUCUUCGGAUUGUAAACCCCUGUCAUGUGGGAGCAAAUUAAAAAGAUAGUACCACAAGAGGAAGAGACGGCUAACUCUGUGCCAGCAGCCGCGGUAAUACAGAGGAUGCGAGCGUUAUCCGGAUUUAUUGGGUUUAAAGGGUGCGCAGGCGGCCUGUUAAGUCAGCGGUAAAAGCCCGGGGCUCAACCCCGGCGAGCCGUUGAAACUGGCGGGCUGGAGUUGGAGAGAAGUACGCGGAAUGCGCGGUGUAGCGGUGAAAUGCUUAGAUAUCGCGCAGAACCCCGAUUGCGAAGGCAGCGUACCGGCUCCACACUGACGCUGAGGCACGAAAGCGUGGGUAUCGAACAGGAUUAGAUACCCUGGUAGUC
This 445-nucleotide ribosomal RNA is filed under the name uncultured bacterium. Its description in RNAcentral is "partial 16S ribosomal RNA". It matches the Rfam family "Bacterial small subunit ribosomal RNA", at positions 338 to 795 of the family's 1533-position model. The record is from RNAcentral.